UACGUAGGGAGCGAGCGUUGUCCGGAAUUACUGGGCGUAAAGGGUGCGUAGGCGGCAUGGCAAGUCAGAUGUGAAAUCCCCGGGCUUAACUCGGGUGCUGCAUUUGAAACUGCUGUGCUUGAGUGCAGGAGAGGAAAGCGGAAUUCCUAGUGUAGCGGUGAAAUGCGUAGAUAUUAGGAGGAACACCAGUGGCGAAGGCGGCUUUCUGGACUGUAACUGACGCUGAGGCACGAAAGCGUGGGGAGCAAACAGG
Molecule: ribosomal RNA, 253 nt
Filed under: uncultured bacterium
Lineage: Bacteria
Also listed under: 1 other name
Description: partial 16S ribosomal RNA
Rfam family: Bacterial small subunit ribosomal RNA
Source: RNAcentral